RNAcentral lists this long non-coding RNA (333 nucleotides) under Homo sapiens (human). RNAcentral describes it as "HSALNT0100942". Lineage: Eukaryota; Metazoa; Chordata; Mammalia; Primates; Hominidae. The record is from RNAcentral.
CAACUCUCAUGGAAAGACUACUGUUAAAGUGCUGUGUGAAGAACAGAGGCACUUUAUUAAAAGAUCUGUAUAUUUUAUAACUUGCUGGUUGAAUAAAUAAUAGUUAUCAUAGAGCUAAAGACCUUAUCUUUACAAAUAAUGAGAAAAAUGGGGUCUUCGGGGGCUUUCCCGUUUAAUGCUACUUAAUGUUUUGGUGUUGAUGCUGAGUCUGACCAGUGGACCCUUCAAAGUUCUAGCAGAACUUUAAACAAAGCAGUCAAUCAUAUUUUCUUACUUUCUAAAAAUAAAAAGAUAAUGCUAAAUUAGGAUUAAAGUAGACAACAUGAAGAAAAA